Artibeus jamaicensis (Jamaican fruit-eating bat) is the source of this 4856-nucleotide long non-coding RNA. RefSeq lists it as uncharacterized. The record is from RefSeq and is a predicted model, not a curated record. The transcript is spliced from 5 exons. NCBI's taxonomy places the organism in Eukaryota, Metazoa, Chordata, Mammalia, Chiroptera, Phyllostomidae.
GUCAUUUGCUUUCUCGGGGCAUCGACCCUUUGGUUCGCAGGCCAGUGGUCAAUCCACUGAGCCACACCAGCCAGGGAUGUAAAUGCAUUGAUUUAUUCAACAAGUAUUAUCUUCACUUAGUAAGUGCUCCACUAUUCUGGGCAUUGGGGGUGCAGCAAAGGAGCGAAGUCCCAGUCCUCUGGGAGCUUACCUGCCCUCUCCCGCUGGGAAGACGGCCAAGCUGUCUCCUGGAGCCCUUCCUGAGCACACACACCCUUCCCAGUGCUUGGUGUCAGCAGCCGUUGGCAUCCGCACAAUUCUAUGGCGUAGAUAAGAUCAUCUCGAUUUUUCAGAUAAGGGAACCAGCUCAGAAAUGCCGGAGCAGGCGUGAGCUGCAGGCAGGACCCGUGGCGGCACCAGGCUCCGAGCGCCCGGCUCUCCUGCCUCUCUGCCGUUUUGCCAACACUCCACCUCCCUUAUUUCCACCUUCCUAAUUCUUUUGCUUUUCUAAUGAGUAUAAAGUGCUCUCUAAGAUGGUGUUUUAAUUUGCGUUUCUCUGAUAUAUAGUGAAUUAGAAUAUUUUAGGAAUCUGGGCUCUUCACUCUUAAUUUGCCUCUUGAAAUCAAACUAGAUCUAAACAGGUGGGGAAAAGUUUUAAGAAAGGAAUUGGCAGACACAUACAUGCCUUCCCCUCACGUUGCUACUUGGGGCUUGUGUUCUAGCAAGGGACACACAGAUCCCGGUGGAAUGUGCUUCCUGCCGACCACCUGGAGUCAAAGUUCAAGCCACCCACCAGCCAGCCACGUGAACUCUUGCAAAUUUCUAACCAUUCUGGGCCUCGAUUUCCUCCUCUGUGAAAUGGGGCAGCACCAGGGCCUGCUGCGUAGGCUUGCUGGAGAAGUAAAGCGUUUGGCACACAGAAGGCACCACCGCACAGUAGCUGUUAUUAUUAACCCUGCCAGUGCUCAGGAGAAAGGGAAAAGGAAUCAUGAUGCAGCCAUGGCAGAGAAUGGAGCAUUUUCCGGAGGGUGUCCCACCCGACCAGCGUGCAUAAUUUUAGUUCUUAGCUUAUUCUGAGGGGAAUUCUGCUAGACUAGCACGACCACAGGACCCAAAAGUUUACAGCAGAAGUAAAGCGUGUGACUGUCAACGUGAGUUCAUACAGGGCUCGGGCACCACUGGUCUCCCCCACCUGGCAGGUGGCAAUGAGGGUUUCUAGUGAGGUGCACACUCUCCUCAUGGUCCCAGGUCGGGGCAUUCAGACACAGGAGAAGGGGCCCAGGGGUCCCUGUGGGUCUCACAGUUGUCCUGGGGCCCUCAGGAGGAGUCUGACAGAGGCAAGGUGAAUACCAAACACAAGGGGUAAACCUGACAACCGGGAGCGUUGGAGGGGCUGGACCUUCCUCCCACAAAGCCCAGGCUUCGGUUGCUGGGACAUGAGAUCUCUUUAUCCCCUUCACAGGGCCCCCAGCUGGCCACUGAAACUGGAGUGGGAGCCUUUCACAGUGAGUGGGAGUCAUACGGUGCUGGAGUCUGACUGAGCUUGGUAACCUAAGGGUCUCUUCUUGAACCUGUUUCCGAGCAUCUGUCUCUCAGGGCUUCAUCACUUCUGUGUGUUACACACGGGUCCCUCUGGCGGCUGGUGACUCCUGGGGACCUCUUUUCAACGUGGCAUUUUAAAAUGUAUAUGACACAAUACGUGGGAUUACAAAAAAACACCUAAUUAUACCAACUGUCCGAAGUGUCCACUGACGAAUGACUAAAAAGGCAGCACAUGCAUGUCAUGAAAUAUUAUUCAGCCCCCAAAAAGGAGGAAAUAGUGACACCUGCUACAACAUGGAUGAACCUUGAGGACAUUACACUGCGUGAAAUGAGCCAGUCACGAGAGGACAAGUACUGUCCCCUUGGGAUCCCGCUGAUAUGAAUGAGGCGCCUACAGUAUUCAGAUCCAUGGUGACAGAAAGGACAGUGGUGGCUGCCAGGGGCUGGGGGGCAGAAGACGAGGGUUAGUGUUUAAUGGGACAGAGUUUCAGUUUUGUAAGAUGGAAAGAGUUCCGGAGACAGAUGGCUGCACGGCAGUGUGAGUGUCCUUAAUGCCACCGAAGUGUACACUUAAUAUGGUGAAGAGGGUAAAUUGUAUGUUAUGUGCAUUUUGCUACAAGUGAAAAUAUUUUUUUUUAAAAAAGCUACCUAACAGAAGUUGCAGCAAAACUCAUUUACCAAGAUGUUAAGCCAAGGUAUGAUAUGGCAACUUAAGCCCGGCUUUGUUAGGACCCAUAUGGCAACUGGUCAAUUCACCACCUUAAUUCAAAAGUAGUGAUGACAUUAAAAAAAUCUCAGGAGAGCUCUGUAACAAUCAUCAUGUGAUGCAAUACAUCUGGGGUUGCUGUUAGGGACAGAGUCACAAUGAUCCUGUGGCUUGUUGCCUGCAUUCAUAACAGGAGCACAUGUUAAAUUUCAGUGAGGAGUGUGUGAAAAUAAAGAUGUCGUUUCUCCUCAUCCAAGUUCAAGAGCGGCCCUGAAUUCUAUACCUGUGCCUUUAGGAUGGACGCUAGGUGCCGUGUGAGUCGUGGCUGACCAGUCGGGCAGUUUUUCUGCGAGCCCGGUAAAGGUUUGGUGAAAGUUGGUUUCCUCAUCUAGAAAGUGCAGAUGAUGGUGGCAGAUCACACUGAGCUGGGAGAGUUGAGUCUUGCAAGAUCGGCAACGGGAGUUGAUGUAUUUUAUUAAUCUUUGACCUCUAACUAUCAAAGGAACUCUGUGAGUGGGUGGGUGGUUUCUGCUUUUGAAAAACCGGCUGAGUGGGUAUAAGAGCCCUUAGCUUAAAAAGGAUUUCACAAUUUCUCAUUUGCAAGAGAGGGAGGGUGUUAAUAAAUAAAGCCACGGCGAAACUGCGCAGGGGCCGUGAGUCGGCCAGUUCCCAGGGCUUCCAAUCAAUUGAGUAAAAGCAAUUUUGAAAAUGCGAUUUUCCCAAAUGGAGAAACGAAAUUGGAGCUCAAGGGAAAGAUCCCAGUGAAACUGCUUUCUCUAAGGCUGUCCAAGACAGGAGUCCCUACUGUGUGUGCGUGUAAGGGUCUGUGCGGUGUGGGAGGGUAGGUGCGAGGGCAUAUUUGUACGGGUUUUUAUAGGGGUGUGUGUAGGAGUGUGUAGUUACGUGUGUAGGAGGAGUGGGGUUAAAGUCAUCAAAAAGGGGGUGAAAACCUGCUUUUCAAUCCCUGUUUCCUCUUCUUUUUAAAGAUUUGAUCAAGACUUCAGGGGCGGAGGCCCUGGCUGGUGGGGCUCAGUGGGUUGGGCACCAGACUGUGAACCAAAGAGUCGCCAGUUCAAUUCCCAGUCAGGGCACAUGCCUGGGUUGUGGGCCAGGUCCCCAGUAGGGGGCACACGAGAGGCAACCACACAUUGAUGUUUGUCUCCCUCCCUGCCUCCCUCUCUUCCCCUCUCUAAAAAUAAAUAAGUAAACUCUUUUUUUAAAAAAAGAGUUCAGGGGUGGUCCUUGCAGGUUCUCUGGGUCGGGUGAGUUGUGCCCUGGCCUCCGCAGUCCUGCUGAGGACUUCCGCAGAGGGCCUGCCCCCGGGCCCCUCCAGCACCCUCAGGAGUCCCUGUGAAGGUUCAACCAGCUGUGUGUUCCGCUCUUGUUUGCUUCAUUUGGAUGUCACAAGGGCCUCCUCUCUGUGCACGAACAGACCGUAGUGACGGCCAGGCUUCGCCCGCUGCACGGGCCUGAGUUCCAACCCCACGUCUCCUCAGGGGGCAGCGAGGGACUCGAGGAAAUGUCCAUGAACCGAGCAUUGAGUUAAAAAGACAACUAAUCUGAAGCCCAGGGAACAUGAGUUCCACACCGACAUCGCCUCCCCGAGAGCGGGGGAAGGGAGUUCCUGCUUGCGGCGGUCAGCCCGGCACAGAGUGGGCGCUCGAGGAAGGUCUGUUGAAGGCACGUGCACUGUAUUCCCCAGCACUAAGGGAACCCCCGCUCCUCUGCCCUGCGGUCCUUCAUUCAUUCAACAAACACACAUAAAGAGCUACCAUGUGCCCAGCACUCUGCGGGGAUUUCGAAGGGCCUUGAACUCUCAUGAUGGCAACUCUUUGGGGGAGGGGGAAGGCACACAUGCAGAUUAGAAAGAGUAGUUAGAAUCGCGAUGUAUCGCCUUUACUUGCACGGGGCACUACGAGCUGUGGGGCCCUGCGUCCUUGCCUGCCAGGGCGGGAGUUUCCUGGGGCUGCCGUGACAAAUGAGCACGCCCUGCGGGGCUCAGAUGACAGCAGUUUGUUCCCUCGCAGUUCUGGAGGCUAGAAGUUCAAGAGCAAGGUGUUGGCAGGGCAGCUUUCCUUGCGUCCUCUCUCCUUGGCUUGCAGACGCUGUCUUCUCCCCAUGCCUUCUCAUGCUCUUCCCUCUGCCUGCAGGUGUCCUAACUUCCUAACUCUCUCUUACACGGACCGGCCAGAUCCAGCCUUGCUUUGUGGCACCAAAACAUCAGAUGCUUCACAAAUAUCUAAGGGCAAGGCAGAGGCAGGUGGUGUUAGUCCUGGAAAGCUUGGAGAACAACCGCUUAGCUGAGUCUUGCAGAGCAAAGGAUCUAGCCUGGAGACAGCUGAUGGGGUUCAGAACACUCCACCCCCGAAUACGGCACCUUGGCACAGGGAUCAUUUUAAGCUGGAGGAGUUUGAGAUAAUGGCAGGAGCGGGGAGGCCUCUUGGACCUUCCCCUGAAGCAGGUCGUAGACGUUUCUGUGAGAGGGGCGUCCCGUCCUGGUUCCUGGAGGAAAGGAGCAGCCUCAUCUCCAAAGUGGAAUCUGAACGAACCCGCGUUCCCCACACUGACCCCGUGCCCUUGUCCGAUCACACUUUCCGCACUCAGAGCCCCGCAUAAAACGUGCAGCUCU